RNAcentral lists this ribosomal RNA (404 nucleotides) under Actinomycetes bacterium. RNAcentral's name for it is "Actinobacteria bacterium partial 16S ribosomal RNA". It matches the Rfam family "Bacterial small subunit ribosomal RNA", at positions 355 to 776 of the family's 1533-position model. Lineage: Bacteria; Bacillati; Actinomycetota; Actinomycetes. The record is from RNAcentral.
UGGGGAAUAUUGGACAAUGGGCGCAAGCCUGAUCCAGCCAUGCCGCGUGAGUGAUGAAGGCCCUAGGGUUGUAAAGCUCUUUCACCGGUGAAGAUAAUGACGGUAACCGGAGAAGAAGCCCCGGCUAACUUCGUGCCAGCAGCCGCGGUAAUACGAAGGGGGCUAGCGUUGUUCGGAUUUACUGGGCGUAAAGCGCACGUAGGCGGACUUUUAAGUCAGGGGUGAAAUCCCGGGGGUCAACCCCGGAACUGCCUUUGAUACUGGAAGUCUUGAGUAUGGUAGAGGUGAGUGGAAUUCCGAGUGUAGAGGUGAAAUUCGUAGAUAUUCGGAAGAACACCAGUGGCGAAGGCAGCUCACUGGACCAUUACUGACGCUGAGGUGCGAAAGCGUGGGGAGCAAACAGG